UCAACCUGAAAUCUUAUUUAGCUAAUUUGAGGCUUGUUCAUAAAAUAAGAAACUCUAAUUAAGUUAAUUAAGAUUCGGGUGAUUCCACUCAUCCACAAACAAGAUCAUAGUGUUCAUCCACUUGUUGAAUGUGUUAACAGUAUCGAGGGACAGAACUACAUUCUAUUGUCCAACAAGACUGGGAGUGUGAGAAGUCUUUUUGAGUAACCACGGUUUUAUCUGGUAGAUUCAUGGCAGAUUUCUGCACGUUUGUGCUGAUCUGAACUGGAAUUCGCAUCAAUGGCCUUCCAUCAUUCCUGGACCACGAAGCUUCAGAAACCUCUCAUCUACAUCCUGGUCAACUCAUCUGUGGUUGCACUGAUGAUCAGCUGCUUCAGAUUCACCAUCUCCAUCACACCAACCGAACUGCCUGCGCUAUCCAGGGAUUCAUAACCACACAGAUUAAAGGAGUUGUCUGGACUCCAAACUCCACUUCCACAGGUUGGAUCUUCGUAAACAAGGGAGCUGCCUUUGCUGCCUCAACAGCAACGAUCCCCACCUUCUUUGAAAACAGCUCAGCUCUGUAUAAUCCUGUUAUCUAUGUGCUGUUUAAACAAACAGGUUGCUUCUUAAACGCAAUUCAAAACUGGAACGUUCCAGUACUGCUGAAUUUACUGACAGGCUUUUUUUUUUGUAUACAUGAAGUCACACUAAUCACCAACUACUUACUUGCACAGUGUGCAUAUUUUCUGAUGCUGUUAAUGUUUGAAUUAAAUAUAUUCAGUAUUUAUAAACAUUGGGAGUAAAACAAUCCAAUUGUAUGAUUUUCUGUUGUGACAAAACACAAAAUGCUAAUUUUUCAUUUAUACGUGAGUAAGUUAAAUGUUGUGAUUAUACAUUAGUAUUAACAUGUAAUUUGUUUGUAAGAUGAGAAAAAUACGACUAAUUGAGCUUUAAAAUUUUUUAAUAUUAUUAUUUGUACAGCUUUAGAGUAAUUUUCUUCACAUUUCAUUUCCAUAACUGUACAUGUAUGCUCAGUACCUUUGGAAGUAGUGAAUUGUUAGAAGAUGAAACCGCAGUGUACACUGGUAAGACAGACGGCUCCACUGUGUCCUAAGAAUAAAGACAUUUAUUCAGCUCUGGA
This is a long non-coding RNA of Siniperca chuatsi (mandarin fish), 1123 nucleotides long. RefSeq lists it as uncharacterized. NCBI's taxonomy places the organism in Eukaryota, Metazoa, Chordata, Actinopteri, Centrarchiformes, Sinipercidae. The transcript has 2 exons. The record is from RefSeq and is a predicted model, not a curated record.